RNAcentral lists this long non-coding RNA (101 nucleotides) under Sus scrofa (pig). RNAcentral's name for it is "lncRNA (ENSSSCG00035021396.1)". Lineage: Eukaryota; Metazoa; Chordata; Mammalia; Artiodactyla; Suidae. The record is from RNAcentral.
AAUCACUUUCUUCUCCUGAAGGAAGUUUCUGAGCCAGCGGUGAACACACUAAGAACUCCUCAACGUGCUUUUCCAGUCUGCCCUGAGAUGGCGGAUUCUCU